Molecule: ribosomal RNA, 305 nt
Filed under: uncultured bacterium
Lineage: Bacteria
Description: partial 16S ribosomal RNA
Rfam family: Bacterial small subunit ribosomal RNA
Source: RNAcentral
ACAGCAGCAGCCGCGGGAAUACGAAGGGUGCAAGCGUUACUCGGAAUUACUGGGCGUAAAGCGUGCGUAGGUGGUGGUUUAAGUCCGUUGUGAAGGCCCUGGGCUCAACCUGGGAAUUGCAGUGGAUACUGGGUCACUAGAGUGUGGUAGAGGAUAGUGGAAUUUCCGGUGUAGCAGUGAAAUGCGUAGAGAUCGGAAGGAACAUCUGUGGCGAAGGCGACUAUCUGGGCCAACACUGACACUGAGGCACGAAAGCGUGGGGAGCAAACAGGAUUAGAUACCCGAGUAGUCCCUGUCUCUUAUAC